RNAcentral lists this ribosomal RNA (187 nucleotides) under uncultured Bacillus sp. Its description in RNAcentral is "partial 16S ribosomal RNA". It matches the Rfam family "Bacterial small subunit ribosomal RNA", at positions 353 to 532 of the family's 1533-position model. The record is from RNAcentral. Lineage: Bacteria; Bacillati; Bacillota; Bacilli; Caryophanales; Bacillaceae.
GGCGCGGAAUCUUCCGCAAUGGACGCAAGUCUGACGGAGCAACGCCGCGUGAGUGAUGAAGGUUUUCGGAUCGUAAAGCUCUGUUGCCAGGGAAGAACGCUUGGGAGAGUAACUGCUCUCAAGGUGACGGUACCUGAAAAAAAAGCCCCGGCUAACUACGUGCCAGCAGCCGCGGUAAAUAAAAAGA